UGGGGAAUUUUGGACAAUGGGCGCAAGCCUGAUCCAGCCAUGCCGCGUGCGGGAAGAAGGCCUUCGGGUUGUAAACCGCUUUUGUCAGGGAAGAAAUCUUCUGAGUUAAUACCUCGGGAGGAUGACGGUACCUGAAGAAUAAGCACCGGCUAACUACGUGCCAGCAGCCGCGGUAAUACGUAGGGUGCAAGCGUUAAUCGGAAUUACUGGGCGUAAAGCGUGCGCAGGCGGUUUUGUAAGACAGAGGUGAAAUCCCCGGGCUCAACCUGGGAACUGCCUUUGUGACUGCAAGGCUUGAGUGCGGCAGAGGGGGAUGGAAUUCCGCGUGUAGCAGUGAAAUGCGUAGAUAUGCGGAGGAACACCGAUGGCGAAGGCAAUCCCCUGGGCCUGCACUGACGCUCAUGCACGAAAGCGUGGGGAGCAAACAGGAUUAGAUACCCUGGUAGUCCACGCCCUAAACGAUGUCAACUGGUUGUUGGGAAGGUUCCUUCUCAGUAACGUAGCUAACGCGUGAAGUUGACCGCCUGGGGAGUACGGCCGCAAGGUUGAAACUUAAAUG
This 559-nucleotide ribosomal RNA is filed under the name uncultured bacterium. RNAcentral describes it as "partial 16S ribosomal RNA". It matches the Rfam family "Bacterial small subunit ribosomal RNA", at positions 355 to 907 of the family's 1533-position model. The record is from RNAcentral.